Molecule: ribosomal RNA, 527 nt
Filed under: uncultured bacterium
Lineage: Bacteria
Description: bacterial SSU rRNA
Rfam family: Bacterial small subunit ribosomal RNA
Source: RNAcentral
UAAGGGAUAUUGCGCAAUGGGCGAAAGCCUGACGCAGCAACGCCGCGUGGAGGAUGACGGCCUUCGGGUCGUAAACUCCUUUUGACGCUGACGAGCAAGGACGGUAGGCGUCGAACAAGUCACGGCUAACUACGUGCCAGCAGCCGCGGUAAAACGUAGGUGGCGAGCGUUAUCCGGAUUGACUGGGCGUAAAGGGUGUGCAGGCGGGGUCUCAAGUGGUGUGUGAAAUCGCCCGGCUCAACCGGGUGAGGUCAGGCCAGACUGAGGCUCUGGAGUGCGGGAGAGGGGCGUGGAAUUCCGGGUGUAGUGGUGAAAUGCGUAGAGAUCCGGAGGAACCCCAGAGGCGAAGGCGGCGCCCUGGCCCGACACUGACGCUGAGACACGACAGCAUGGGGAGCGAACGGGAUUAGAAACCCCGGUAGUCCAUGCCGUAAACGAUGCCAACUAGGCGCUGGGGGUCUCAACCCCCUCGGUGCCGCAGCUAACGCGCUAAGUUGGCCGCCUGGGGAGUACGGCCGCAAGGCUAA